GACGAACGCUGGCGGCGUGCUUAACACAUGCAAGUCGAACGGAAAGGCCCUGCUUUUGUGGGGUGCUCGAGUGGCGAACGGGUGAGUAACACGUGAGUAACCUGCCCUUGACUUUGGGAUAACUUCAGGAAACUGGGACUAAUACCGGAUAGGAGCUCCUGCUGCAUGGUGGGGGUUGGAAAGUUUCGGCGGUUGGGGAUGGACUCGCGGCUUAUCAGCUUGUUGGUGGGGUAGUGGCUUACCAAGGCUUUGACGGGUAGCCGGCCUGAGAGGGUGACCGGCCACAUUGGGACUGAGAUACGGCCCAGACUCCUACGGGAGGCAGCAGUGGGGAAUAUUGCACAAUGGGCGGAAGCCUGAUGCAGCAACGCCGCGUGCGGGAUGACGGCCUUCGGGUUGUAAACCGCUUUCGCCUGUGACGAAGCGUGAGUGACGGUAAUGGGUAAAGAAGCACCGGCUAACUACGUGCCAGCAGCCGCGGUGAUACGUAGGGUGCGAGCGUUGUCCGGAUUUAUUGGGCGUAAAGGGCUCGUAGGUGGUUGAUCGCGUCGGAAGUGUAAUCUUGGGGCUUAACCCUGAGCGUGCUUUCGAUACGGGUUGACUUGAGGAAGGUAGGGGAGAAUGGAAUUCCUGGUGGAGCGGUGGAAUGCGCAGAUAUCAGGAGGAACACCAGUGGCGAAGGCGGUUCUCUGGGCCUUUCCUGACGCUGAGGAGCGAAAGCGUGGGGAGCGAACAGGCUUAGAUACCCUGGUAGUCCACGCUGUAAACGGUGGGUACUAGGUGUGGGGUCCAUUCCACGGGUUCCGUGCCGUAGCUAACGCUUUAAGUACCCCGCCUGGGGAGUACGGCCGCAAGGCUAAAACUCAAAGGAAUUGACGGGGCCCCGCACAAGCGGCGGAGCAUGCGGAUUAAUUCGAUGCAACGCGUAGAACCUUACCUGGGUUUGACAUGGAUCGGGAGUGCUCAGAGAUGGGUGUGCCUCUUUUGGGGUCGGUUCACAGGUGGUGCAUGGCUGUCGUCAGCUCGUGUCGUGAGAUGUUGGGUUAAGUCCCGCAACGAGCGCAACCCUUGUUCACUGUUGCCAGCACGUUAUGGUGGGGACUCAGUGGAGACCGCCGGGGUCAACUCGGAGGAAGGUGGGGAUGACGUCAAGUCAUCAUGCCCCUUAUGUCCAGGGCUUCACGCAUGCUACAAUGGCUGGUACAGAGAGUGGCGAGCCUGUGAGGGUGAGCGAAUCUCGGAAAGCCGGUCUCAGUUCGGAUUGGGGUCUGCAACUCGACCUCAUGAAGUCGGAGUCGCUAGUAAUCGCAGAUCAGCAACGCUGCGGUGAAUACGUUCCCGGGGCU
This 1346-nucleotide ribosomal RNA is filed under the name uncultured bacterium. Its description in RNAcentral is "partial 16S ribosomal RNA". It matches the Rfam family "Bacterial small subunit ribosomal RNA", at positions 28 to 1381 of the family's 1533-position model. The record is from RNAcentral.